UAGGGGCUUGGGGACCCCUAGUUACCUUGGGGGGGGGAGGGAUUUGCUUAGGGCCCCCACCCGCAGCCCAGGGGUGGGGGCCGGGGGGGGAGGACAGUAGGUCCCCCCCUCAUUAUCUUUGUGGCCCCCACCCGCCGCCCAGGGGUGGGGGCCGGGGGGAGGACAGUAGGUCCCCCCCCUCGUUAUCUUUGUGGCCCCCACCCGCCGCCCAGGGGUCGGGGCCGGGGGGGAGGACAGUAGGUCCCCCCCUCAUUAUCUUUGUGGCCCCCACCUGCCGCCCAGGGGUGGGGGCCGGGGGGGAGGACAGUAGGUCCCC
Non-coding RNA from Pelobates cultripes (western spadefoot toad), 316 nucleotides. The record is from the annotation of a GenBank genome assembly. NCBI's taxonomy places the organism in Eukaryota, Metazoa, Chordata, Amphibia, Anura, Pelobatidae.